RNAcentral lists this ribosomal RNA (248 nucleotides) under uncultured Streptococcus sp. Its description in RNAcentral is "partial 16S ribosomal RNA". It matches the Rfam family "Bacterial small subunit ribosomal RNA", at positions 1136 to 1382 of the family's 1533-position model. Lineage: Bacteria; Bacillati; Bacillota; Bacilli; Lactobacillales; Streptococcaceae. The record is from RNAcentral.
CACUCUAGCGAGAACUGGCCGGUAAUAAACCCGGAGGAAGUGGGAUGACGUCAAAUCAUCAUGCCCCUUAUGACCUGGGCUACACACGUGCUACAAUGGUUGGUACAACGAGUUGCGAGUCGGUGACGGCGAGCUAAUCUCUUAAAGCCAAUCUCAGUUCGGAUUGUAGGCUGCAACUCGCCUACAUGAAGUCGGAAUCGCUAGUAAUCGCGGAUCAGCACGCCGCGGUGAAUACGUUCCCGGGCCUU